Molecule: long non-coding RNA, 427 nt
Filed under: Panax ginseng (ginseng)
Lineage: Eukaryota; Viridiplantae; Streptophyta; Magnoliopsida; Apiales; Araliaceae
Description: long non-coding RNA (PGIN_LNC000616)
Source: RNAcentral
UGUGGCAUUAUUUUGACUUGCCUGUGUGGCAUUGUUUUGAUGUGCCUGUGUGGCAUUAUUUUGGUUGCCUAUGUGACAUCAUUUGAUUCACCUGUGUGGCAUUAUUUUGACUUGCCUGUGUGGCACGGUAUAUUUCUGAGCUCAUUCGGUAUGAAAUAACUCCAGCCAUUUGUUUCAGCCUAUUAUUUUAUUGGAUUAGCUUUGUUGAUUUCUGUUCAAUUCAAGUCAUUGAGUUAGUUACUUCAGUUCGUUAUUUCUUCAUUCUUUUAUUGAUUUCGUCAAUUAUAUUGAUUCAGAUAUAUUUCAUUCAGAUCUUUGGAGAUUAUAUUUUCGUCCGUAUUUACACUUGAGGCUUUGUUUAGUAUUUUGUCUCAGUUAUUUUUGUAUAUCAGUUGUAUAUCUUUUGUAUAUCUGUAUUCGUACUGGG